Molecule: ribosomal RNA, 114 nt
Filed under: Acanthosepion pharaonis
Lineage: Eukaryota; Metazoa; Mollusca; Cephalopoda; Sepiida; Sepiidae
Source: RNAcentral
UUGCGGCCAUAUCAUCUUGAAACACCGAUCACCGCAAGAUCACUGAAGUUAAGCAACGUCGAGCCUGAUAAGUACCCAGAUGGUUGACCACUUGGGAAUGCAACGUGCAGUAUG